This 513-nucleotide ribosomal RNA is filed under the name uncultured bacterium. RNAcentral describes it as "partial 16S ribosomal RNA". It matches the Rfam family "Bacterial small subunit ribosomal RNA", at positions 28 to 507 of the family's 1533-position model. The record is from RNAcentral.
GACGAACGCUGGCGGCGUGCUUAACACAUGCAAGUCGAACGAAAAGAGGGAAAGAGCUUGCUCUUUCCGGAAUUGAGUGGCAAACGGGUGAGUAACACGUAAACAACCUGCCUUCAGGAUGGGGACAACAGACGGAAACGACUGCUAAUACCGAAUAAGUUCCAAGGGCCGCAUGGCCCAUGGAAGAAAAGGUGGCCUCUACCUGUAAGCUAUCGCCUGAAGAGGGGUUUGCGUCUGAUUAGCUGGUUGGAGGGGUAACGGCCCACCAAGGCGACGAUCAGUAGCCGGUCUGAGAGGAUGGACGGCCAGCCUGGGACGGAGACACGGUCCAGACUCCUACGGGAGGCAGCAGUGGGGCAUCUUCCGCAAUAGGCGAAAGCCUGACGGAGCAACGCCGCGUGAGUGAUGACGGCCUUCGGGUUGUAAAACUCUGUGAUCCGGGACGAAAAGGCAGAGUGCGAAGAACAAACUGCAUUGACGGUACCGGAAAAGCAAGCCACGGCUAACUACGUG